CACGUAGGGCGCAAGCGUUGUCCGGAAUUAUUGGGCGUAAAGAGCUCGUAGGCGGUCUGUUGCGUCCGCUGUGAAAACUCGGGGCUUAACCCCGAGCCUGCAGUGGAUACGGGCAGACUAGAGGUAGGUAGGGGAGAAUGGAAUUCCCGGUGUAGCGGUGAAAUGCGCAGAUAUCUGGAGGAACACCGGUGGCGAAGGCGGCAUCCUGGACCAACACUGACACUGAGGAGCGAAAGCCAGGGGAACAAACGGG
This 253-nucleotide ribosomal RNA is filed under the name uncultured bacterium. RNAcentral describes it as "partial 16S ribosomal RNA". It matches the Rfam family "Bacterial small subunit ribosomal RNA", at positions 524 to 776 of the family's 1533-position model. The record is from RNAcentral.